This is a long non-coding RNA of Dermochelys coriacea (leatherback sea turtle), 1605 nucleotides long. RefSeq lists it as uncharacterized. The record is from RefSeq and is a predicted model, not a curated record. Lineage: Eukaryota; Metazoa; Chordata; Testudines; Dermochelyidae. The transcript has 2 exons.
CAGAGACAUAAACUGAAACUUUUAAUUCUUAAAAUGUGUUUGCCAGCCAACCAGGAAUUACCCUACUUGAGACAGAGGAGUGUGGCUUCUCACCUGGGAGUUACUUCCAAAGUACUUUGAAAGACAAUAAGGCACAGUGCCAGUGGGAGAAGAAGCAGCAUGACAAUUCCUUCAAGACAGACUCCAUUUUCCUCACCUCGCUGCUGAAAAUGGACUGGGGGUAACCUUCAGAAACAUCCAUUUCAAUGAUUCAACAGACUAUUAAAGAGAUGGGUACAAGUCCCAAGUUAUCUAUCUUACACCUAAGAAGACAAAGGUACCAGGACUUUGAUUUUAGGAGAUGGAUCCUGACUAGGAGUUUGGUCCAUCAUCUUGAUGAAAUCAGUACCUUGAACCAAGUCUACCUUGUUAAAUUGUAGUCACUAGAAAGCAUUUUAUCUUUGUUUCUCUUUUAACCAUUUUUGACUUUAAUCCUUAUACUUGUAUCUAUUUAAAAUCUGCAUUUUCAGAAUUAAAUAAAUUUAUUUUAUUUUUAAUUUAAACCAUUCUAUUGCUGUGUUUGACCUGAACUGUUUGGAAAUUCCAGUUACCGGUAAACUGUUGAAUAUUGACUCUUUAAAGAAGCAACAAACCAUAAUGUUCCUCCGUUUGAUCCAGGACAGAGCUGGAUAUUUCAGAAGACACGUUCUGGGGGAAAUUUGAUGUCACCGUACCAGUUGUAACCAAGGCUGCUGGAGACCAGUGGAAGUCUGUGAUAUUGCAGCCAGGUUCCUGGAUCCAAAGCAUUCGAUCAUGGCUGCUCAAUUCAUAGGCCUAGGGUGCAUGCUUGUUGCUGACUGUGAGUAGCCUGUCAGAGAGCUACAAUAGCAAAGCUUUUAAGGCACUAAAGGGCUACAGGGUAAGAGGUGACACAAUUCUUUACUGAUCCAGCUUGUACCCCAGAACAUGACAGCUUCCAAGACAUUUGCCCAGGGAUGCAACUUAUUACAGGCAGCUAACUAUCUAGGUGCUGAUUGUCUGUCUGGCAGGGGCGCCCUCAGACACUCUUCCCACGGUAUACCCAAAACCCGCUCCUGCCAGCUCCCAUGUGCAGGCACUCCCAACAGCUCCCCUCCCCCUACUUGUAGCAGCUCUUAAGGCUGUUGCUGAGUGAAUACUGUGGGCAGAGCAGAGGGGACAUGGGCAGUUGGGGGGAGGGGACAUCUGGUACAGGAGCUGGCCCCAUGGCAGCAGUGAGGAGCAGUAGUGCUGGCUGCCUUGCUGCCUGCUCAGGUUUGGUCUAGAAGCCCUCCAUCAUGAUGGGGAAGGGGAUGGCAGCAGGGCCAAAACUGAGUGACAUUGUGACCUGGUGCAUGAGGGCCACAGUGCUACUCAGGUUUGGCCCCAUGGCCUCUCUUUCAUGAUAGAGGGUCUGAGGGCAAACCUGAGUGGGCAGUGGAGCAGCCAACACUGCUUCUCCUCAACUUGGCACCCCUGCCAAUGGUACGCACUGUGCGUAACGUGUACAGCUGUGGGUACCACUGGUGACCAGCCUUACUUCCCCUGCCCCCACUUCUGUGCAGGGACCGAGCACAGUUGCAGUGCCAGUGCUGUGAGCUCUCCCUC